GAACGCUGGCGGCGUGCCUAAUACAUGCAAGUCGAGCGAACCAAUUGAAAGCCUAGCUUUCAUGAGGUUAGCGGCGGACGGGUGAGUAACACGUGGGUAACCUGCCCUAUAGACUGGGAUAACUCGCGGAAACGCGUGCUAAUACCGGAUAAYACAUCARAGUGCAUGCUUUGRUGUUGAAAGAUGGUUCUGCUAUCACUAUAGGAUGGGCCCGCGGCGCAUUAGCUUGUUGGUGGGGUAACGGCCUACCAAGGCGACGAUGCGUAGCCGACCUGAGAGGGUGAUCGGCCACACUGGGACUGAGACACGGCCCAGACUCCUACGGGAGGCAGCAGUAGGGAAUCUUCCACAAUGGGCGAAAGCCUGAUGGAGCAACGCCGCGUGAGCGAAGAAGGUCUUCGGAUCGUAAAGCUCUGUUGUAAGGGAAGA
Molecule: ribosomal RNA, 429 nt
Filed under: Ureibacillus sp. R-33178
Lineage: Bacteria; Bacillati; Bacillota; Bacilli; Caryophanales; Caryophanaceae
Description: bacterial SSU rRNA
Rfam family: Bacterial small subunit ribosomal RNA
Source: RNAcentral